UGGGGAAUUUUGGACAAUGGGGGAAACCCUGAUCCAGCCAUCCCGCGUGUGCGAUGAAGGCCUUCGGGUUGUAAAGCACUUUUGGCAGGAAAGAAACGUCGCGGGUUAAUACCCCGCGGAACUGACGGUACCUGCAGAAUAAGCACCGGCUAACUACGUGCCAGCAGCCGCGGUAAUACGUAGGGUGCAAGCGUUAAUCGGAAUUACUGGGCGUAAAGCGUGCGCAGGCGGUUCGGAAAGAAAGAUGUGAAAUCCCAGAGCUUAACUUUGGAACUGCAUUUUUAACUACCGGGCUAGAGUGUGUCAGAGGGAGGUGGAAUUCCGCGUGUAGCAGUGAAAUGCGUAGAUAUGCGGAGGAACACCGAUGGCGAAGGCAGCCUCCCGGGAUAACACUGACGCUCAUGCACGAAAGCGUGGGGAGCAAACAGGAUUAGAUACCCUGGUAGUCCACGCCCUAAACGAUGUCAACUAGCUGUUGGGGUCUUCGGACCUUGGUAGCGCAGCUAACGCGUGAAGUUGACCGCCUGGGGAGUACGGUCGCAAGAUUAAAACUCAAAGGAAUUGACGGGGUCAUAGCUGUUU
This 582-nucleotide ribosomal RNA is filed under the name uncultured bacterium. RNAcentral's name for it is "partial 16S ribosomal RNA". It matches the Rfam family "Bacterial small subunit ribosomal RNA", at positions 355 to 935 of the family's 1533-position model. The record is from RNAcentral.